GAUUCCCCGAGUAAUGGCGAAUGAAACGGGAAAAGCCCAAAUUUGAAAUCUCCUGGCCUGUGCCAGGCGAGUUGUAAUUUGUAGAAGGUCUCCAUCUGAACUGUGUUUGCCAAAGUCCAUUGGAACAUGGCGGGCCUUCGGGCCCUCAAGUCACAGAGGGUGAAAACCCCGUUCUUGGCAUUCUACUAGUUCUCUUGUAUGGUUCCUUCAAAGAGUCGGAUUGUUUGGGAAUGCAAUCCAAAAGGGGUGGUAAAUUCCAUCCAAGGCUAAAUAUCAGCAAGAGACCGAUAGCGAACAAGUACCGUGAGGGAAAGAUGAAAAGAACUCUGAAGAGAGAGUUCAACAGUACGUGAAAUUGCUGAAAGGGAAACGUUUGAAACGAUUGUUGCCUUUGGUUUCGGCCUUGGGCGAGUCAGCAGCAGUUUUGGGCGGUAAAGAAGCGCUUGCAGAAGGUAGUUUUCUUCGGGAAAUGUUAUAGCUGCAGGUGGCUGUGCCGCGCAAGACUGAGGACUGCUUUUGGGUGCCUUGUCGAGGGAUUCUGGGCUGUUCAUGCCAAGGCCUUGGGCUCUGCUCAAGACUUGGUGUGAGCCGUUCAGGACGACCAAACACACGGCCCCAGAAUAGGUUGCUGACAAAAUGGUUUUAAACGACCCGUCUUGAAACACGGACCAAGGAGUGCAACAAACUUGCGAGUCGUAGGGUGACAAACCUGAAGGCGCAAUGAAAGUGAAAAAAUACCACCCGGCAACGGGGCAGUAUUGCCCGGUCUUGCGGCCCAAUGCCAAAGGAUCUGAGGUAGAGCAAGUUUGCUGCGACCCGAAAGAUGGUGAACUAUGCCUGCAUAGGGCGAAGCCAGAGGAAACUCUGGUGGAGGCUCGUAGCGAUUCUGACGUGCAAAUCGAUCGUCAAAUGUGGGUAUAGGGGCGAAAGACUAAUCGAACCAUCUAGUAGCUGGKUUCC
Molecule: ribosomal RNA, 960 nt
Filed under: Allomyces arbusculus
Lineage: Eukaryota; Fungi; Blastocladiomycota; Blastocladiomycetes; Blastocladiales; Blastocladiaceae
Description: eukaryotic LSU rRNA
Rfam family: Eukaryotic large subunit ribosomal RNA
Source: RNAcentral